RNAcentral lists this ribosomal RNA (497 nucleotides) under uncultured bacterium. Its description in RNAcentral is "partial 16S ribosomal RNA". It matches the Rfam family "Bacterial small subunit ribosomal RNA", at positions 28 to 507 of the family's 1533-position model. The record is from RNAcentral.
GAUGAACGCUGGCGGCGUGCCUAAUACAUGCAAGUCGAGCGAACAGACGAGGAGCCUGCUCCUCUGACGUUAGCGGCGGACGGGUGAGUAACACGUGGAUAACCUACCUAUAAGACUGGGAUAACUUCGGGAAACCGGAGCUAAUACCGGAUAAUAUAUUGAACCGCAUGGUUCAAUAGUGAAAGACGGUUUUGCUGUUACUUCUAGAUGGAUCCGCGCCGCAUUAGCUAGUUGGUAAGGUAACGGCUUACCAAGGCAACGAUGCGUAGCCGACCUGAGAGGGUGAUCGGCCACACUGGAACUGAGACACGGUCCAGACUCCUACGGGAGGCAGCAGUAGGGAAUCUUCCGCAAUGGGCGAAAGCCUGACGGAGCAACGCCGCGUGAGUGAUGAAGGUCUUCGGAUCGUAAAACUCUGUUAUUAGGGAAGAACAAAUGUGUAAGUAACUAUGCACGUCUUGACGGUACCUAAUCAGAAAGCCACGGCUAACUACGUG